GGUGCUGCAUGGUUGUCGUCAGCUCGUGUCGUGAGAUGUUCGGGUUAAGUCCCGCAACGAGCGCAACCCCUGUCCUGUGUUGCUACUCCGCAAGGAGAGGACUCUCAGGAGACUGCCGUGGAUAACACGGAGGAAGGUGGGAUGACGUCAAAUCAUCAUGGCCUUUAUGUCCAGGGCUACACACGUGAUACAAUGGUACAGACAGAGGGCUGCAAGACCGUAAGGUGGAGCCAAUCCCUAAACUGUAUCCCAGUUCAGAUCGAGGGCUGCAAUUCGCCCUCGUGAAGUUGGAAUCGCUAGUAAUCGCAGAUCAGCAGGCUGCGGUGAAUACGUUCCCGGGCCUU
RNAcentral lists this ribosomal RNA (344 nucleotides) under uncultured bacterium. RNAcentral's name for it is "bacterial SSU rRNA". It matches the Rfam family "Bacterial small subunit ribosomal RNA", at positions 1037 to 1382 of the family's 1533-position model. The record is from RNAcentral.